Molecule: ribosomal RNA, 728 nt
Filed under: Trophomera cf. marionensis
Lineage: Eukaryota; Metazoa; Nematoda; Chromadorea; Plectida; Benthimermithidae
Description: partial large subunit ribosomal RNA
Rfam family: Eukaryotic large subunit ribosomal RNA
Source: RNAcentral
ACAAGUACCGUGAGGGAAAGUUGCAAAGAACUUUGAAGAGAGAGUUCAAGAGGGCGUGAAACCGCUUGGAAGGAAGCGGACAGAGCUGACGAAACUCGGCGGCAUUCAACCUUCAAACAGUUGUGGAGUUUGUCUGGAUGAUCCUCGGACGUCUGGCAGAUCCCAUCUCUGGAUGAUGGGUGCAUUUGCCGUCGGUAUGCGCCGAGAGCAUUGCCGUCGUCUUCCCGGUCGGUUCGGGUCGUGGCCCUGCCACUUGUGGAGAGGUGUCCUGCCCGGCUGAUUGGGCUGAUCGGUGGUAGUGUCUAAUUUGGCAAUGAUUGGGAUUUGGUCAGUGUUGGGUCGGUUCGUUCGUGGAACUGUCGCUUGCGAUUCGUUCUCGAUCGAGCAAAUCCACUCUGAUCAUCAUACUCUGAUCGUAAUAUUGUCAUCUCGGUGUCAAAGUCGGUCACCUGUCCGACCCGUCUUGAAACACGGACCAAGGAGUCUAACAUGUGCGCGAGUCAUUGGGUGGCAAACUCAUUGGCGCAAUGAAAGUGACAUUUAAACAUGGGAUUCCUCCUCUUUUUUGAGAUGGAAGCACCAUGACCCCGUCCCAACUGCUUGCAGUGGGGCGGAGGAAGGGCGUACACGUUGGUACCCGAAAGAUGGUGAACUAUGCCUGAGCAGGAUGAAGCCAGAGGAAACUCUGGUGGAAGUCCGCAGCGGUUCUGACGUGCUAAUCGAUCGUC